AGAUGCUAUUUUGUUUAUAAUUUAUUUAAAAAAUACGUGGGCAUCUAUCCCAAUCACAAAGGAUAGUUGCCCUGAUUUUUUGAGGUAUAGGUGCCUUUAGGGGCAUCUAUCCCUUCAUUCACCAUAUACAGACAGAACUAUGCCACGAAAAUAUAAAAGAAAGGAAGAAAUGCGAGCUCGAGUAUGUUCUUGGACUAUAGAAAAC
RNAcentral lists this unclassified non-coding RNA (205 nucleotides) under Melitaea cinxia (Glanville fritillary). RNAcentral's name for it is "misc RNA ENSMCXG00005015856.1". The record is from RNAcentral. Lineage: Eukaryota; Metazoa; Arthropoda; Insecta; Lepidoptera; Nymphalidae.